UAAAUGGAAGCCAAAGUUGAGGCGUCUAGCUGUUAAUUAGAAGACUGUAAAUAUUAAAUUACCCAUUUAG
Molecule: transfer RNA, 70 nt
Filed under: Erronea onyx
Lineage: Eukaryota; Metazoa; Mollusca; Gastropoda; Littorinimorpha; Cypraeidae
Description: tRNA-Asn
Source: RNAcentral